RNAcentral lists this long non-coding RNA (1399 nucleotides) under Monodelphis domestica (gray short-tailed opossum). RNAcentral describes it as "lncRNA (ENSMODG00000039973.1)". Lineage: Eukaryota; Metazoa; Chordata; Mammalia; Didelphimorphia; Didelphidae. The record is from RNAcentral.
AUGAAGGAAAAAAGGAAGGGAGAGGAAGGAAGGAAGGGAGGGAGGGAGAGAGGAAGGGAUGAAGGAAAAAAGGAAGGGAGAGGAAGGAAGGAAGGAAGGGAGGGAGGGAGAGAGAGAGGAAGGAAGGAAGGGAGAGAGGAAGGGAUGAAGGAAAAAAGGAAGGGAGAGGAAGGAAGGAAGGAAGGAAAAAAGAAGGAGGGAGGAAGAAAGAAAGGGAGGAAGGAAAAAUGGAAGGGAGGGAGAGGAAGGAAGCAAAGAAGGAAGGAAGGAAAAAAGGAAGGGAGGGAAGGAGGUAGGAAAGAAAGAAAAGGGAAGGGAGGAGAGAGAGAGAGAGAGACAAAGUUUAUUAAGUGCUUACGGUGUGCCAAAGACUGUGCUGAAUGUUUGGAAUAUAAAUAGCAAACCAAGACAGUCCAUGUUCUAGAGGAGCUCAUAUUCUAAUUGGGGAAACAACACAUAUAGGCAGGUUCAGCUGCAGGGAAGAUGGAAAGUCCCAGAGGUGGGAAAUGGGAUGUUGUGUGUGAGAAGCAGAAAGUAGGUCAGUUCACUGAGAUGGUAGAGUUCGAGAAAGGAAGGAAUGUGUUAGAAGCCUGAAAAGGCAGUGCUAAAGGACUUUAAAUGACAAACAGUGACAUUUGUUUUUGAUCCUGGAGGUAAGAGGGAGCCAUUGGAACUUCUAGAGUAGGGGAGUGCCAUGUCAGACCUUGGUUUUACCAAGAAUACCACUCUGGCUGCUGGGGGCAGGAUAACUGUAGAACCUGUGGGGUCUGAAAGAGGCAAAGGAUGGGGAGGGGAGAUCCAGAAAGACUUCUAGUUGAGGGGCUAGCUCCCCCUCUGCCUGGCACUGAGAUAUCCUGCCCCUGCCCACAGAAGCCUUCCUUCCUCCCUCUCAGAGCGAAGCCCGGCCUGCAGAAGCCAUGUCCCUGGCCUAGCUCUUCUGAUGAAAGCUGUCUGGAUGGUCUGGAUUCUGCUCUCCCAGCCUGCCUCUCUCCCUUGCUUUGUGCCAAGUACUCUUCAGUUCUCCACUAGCCCACCUCCGGGCAUCUUCCAUCUACUUGGCCCAGUCAAAGCUUGCUCCCCCUCCUUCCCUCCUUCCUCCUGGGCCUCGUCUCCUUUUACGCUCUCCCCAUUCAGAGAUUCACAAUCCACAAUACAUCCAUUUUCUUGUUAAAGGUAUAGCCAGCCCAGUCCAGGGCAGUCCCCAAGGACUUCCAUUGACAACACUUCAAUAUCUUCAAGACCCCACAUUUACAUUUCAACCCAGAAAGCUUGGGGAGCUGUAAGAUUUACAGCUGCUCUAAGGAAAGGGACAUCUUGCUACAGGGGCUUAAGAUGGAAAAUUCUUUCUGUGUUGUAAACCCAUUCACUGCCUCCAGAACCACAGCACUCCCCCUCUUCC